AGCAAUGAAGUGUGGUGGUCAACACCUCAGACUUGGAAUCUGACUUCUCCAGUUAAAAUCUUGGCUCUGUCA
Molecule: transfer RNA, 72 nt
Filed under: Ailuropoda melanoleuca (giant panda)
Lineage: Eukaryota; Metazoa; Chordata; Mammalia; Carnivora; Ursidae
Rfam family: tRNA
About the family: Transfer RNA (tRNA) molecules are approximately 80 nucleotides in length. Their secondary structure includes four short double-helical elements and three loops (D, anti-codon, and T loops).
Source: Rfam by way of RNAcentral